Long non-coding RNA from Leucoraja erinaceus (little skate), 3260 nucleotides. RefSeq lists it as uncharacterized. The transcript is spliced from 2 exons. Lineage: Eukaryota; Metazoa; Chordata; Chondrichthyes; Rajiformes; Rajidae. The record is from RefSeq and is a predicted model, not a curated record.
ACGGUACUCACGUGAGGGCGAUCCGGUCCGGGGGCUGGGACGGUGCUCCGGUGGCUGGGACGACGUUCUGACGGCGGUGUCCAGAGUCUUGGGUUCAGCCGCGGGCCGGCGGCUGCGUGUGCUGGACUGGAGGUGCGGCGGCUUCGACCACCCCGGGCCGCAGUGUUUGAACCGGCCCGUUCGGUGAGCUGCGGGACUGUUUGUACCAUCGCCCGGUGGGGAAUCGCCUCAGCGCAGAGGGAGAAGAGGGAAGAGACUGCAGCCCUAAGAUUUUUGCCUCCACCACAGUGAGGAGGUGUUUGGAGGACUCACUGUGGUGGAUGUUAAUUUGUGUUUAUUGUUGUUUAUUAUUGUAUCAUUGUAUGUAUGACUGCAGGCACGAAAUUUCGUUCAGACCGUAAGGUCUGAAUGACAAUAAAGGAAAUUCAAUUCGAUUCAAUUCAAUUUCAAUAAGCCGCAUUAGGAAUAAACCCAGCCUGCAAUUCCUAAUCCCCCAAAAGUUCAAAUCUAGACACAAAAUUCUGGAGUAACUCAGCAGGUCAGGCAGCAUCUAUGGAGAAAAGGAAUAGGUGAUCUUUCGUGUCGACACCCUUCUUCAGAUCAGUCUGAAAAAGGGUCUUGAUCCGAAACGUCACCUAUUCCUUUUCUCCGGAGAUGCUGCCUAAUCUGUGUCUAUCUUCAGUGUAAAUUAACAUCUGCAGUUCCUUCCUGCACAAUAGUUCAAAUCUGUUUUCACUCAAUUGCCUAUCACCAGAGUUCCAAAAUAAUACAAAAUCAGCAUUCUAAACCCAAUUCAUGCAAACUUUUAUUAAUGGAAUUGCCAACCAUUUGUACCCAGGAAAAGAUGGGCUCCUGGAACUGUGUAGGUUACUGAUUUAAAAAAAUAUAUAAUAAUGAUGUGCCUCCAUCCACCUUUUGCCUUUGGCUGCAUCUUCAAUGUCCUUGAGUGCGUCCUUCCCAUAUCCAAUGGCGUCUGAUGGAGAGCUGGCACCAGCGUUUUUCUAAUUCCUGACCCAACCACAUUCCCAGUGGCUCAUUUAGUGCAGACUUUGCCUCUGAACACAUUACCACUGUACACAGAGCAGGUGUCUUUGCAGCUGGCUGGGAAACUCACUUGGAGUGAUGGUGCAUCAUUAUCUUUGCCUGGCUGUCCUAGGCUAGCUGAUAAUGAAAAACCUUAAUGGUAGCAAUAUGAUGAGGGAAGGGGUUAAACGAAGAUACAUUCUGUUAGUCCGUCUGCUCUGUAAGACACCAUAUGAUGAGGGUUCAGUGGAAGAUGUGAAAGACACGUAGCUUCAGGAUUCCAGCAGCUAAAGUGUCCACAUCAUGUUAAGCCAUGGACUCUGUAUGUCAACGUUGACCAGCAUUGUCUUCUUGGUAUGAAUUUGGAGUGGUAAUGUGAUGCAGUCAUGUCUUUCCAUUAUCAAUGAGCUGUUCUUGUCAGUCUGCCCUCUCCUCAUUCUCAUCCACUUCACCUCCCAGUACUCUUCCACCGGUCCCUCCUUCUCCUCACCUGCCUGCCACUCCCCUCUCAUCAGCCUAACUCUCCUCACCUGUUGCACUCAGUUGCCUCUGAUCACCUAUUAACCCGGUAUAUAGACUCUCCUCACCGUUCACACAGUGCCAGAUUGUUCUCAGCAUUCAUGCAAGACUCUCCAGCGAUUUCCCGACUGCCUACACGGAUUCGAACCUGCCUGCCACUGACCAUUCCGUCCUGUCGUCUUCCCAGAUAUCACCUCCGCGUUCUGUCCCCGACCUCCUGGUUUCUGUCUGCCUCUCUCCUGGGCUGUUUGGUGUAUCCCUGCAACGGCUCCUCGACUACCUGCCUGACUUCAACUCUCCUUCGUCUGUCCCUCGCUGGUUUGUUUGCAUCAUGUGUUGGAUCUCCUGGUUAUCGGACCUUCCGCUACCCCGACUACGACUCCUGCCUGCCCCUCUUCGGAACCCUCGCUCAAUCCUGAGCCUCUGUGAGUCUAUGACAAUAUCGAUGUGAACCAUACUUGAAUAACAGAUCAGGACUUGAAACGUGCCGGAAGGAAGCAAACAAGCAGUUCUGUCACUAAAUAAUCACUACUGGAAAACAAAUCACCACUGGAAAAUAAAACUGCAGAUGCCAGGAUAUCAAACAAGUACACAAAUGCUAGAAGAACUCGGCUAGUUUGGCACCAUCUGUAAAAUAACAAACAGGUUAGUGUUUCAGAUCAAAGCUCUUAAUCAGAAAAGAGAAAGAAUGAAAGCAAGUAACAGAGAAGGUGGUGAAAGGCCAAGGUUGGACAAAGGGAAUGCUAAUAAUAGGAUGAAAUACGGCAGUAAUGAAAUGGACAGUAAUCUCCUUUGUAGAAAAGGCACUGCAUAUGCUGAUUUACACAAAAGGACACAAAGCGCUGGCGUAACUGAGCAGGUCAGUCUCUGGAGUACAAGGAUAGGGGAUGUUUGUGUCAUGCCACUUUUUAAGACUUAUCUCCCUUUUCUGUGUAAUGUGUUGCUCAUGUUGUGGAGUCUGGUUGAUACUGCUUUGUCUGGCCAACUGGGACAUGUGGACCAGGCCCACAAUGGUACGGCAGUAGAGUUGUUGCCUUGCAGAGCCAGAGACACCUGGCUAAGGGUGCUUGUCUGUAUGGAGUUUGUACGUUUCCCCCCAAGACCUGCGUGGGUUUUCUCUGGGAUCUCUGGUUUCCUGCCACACUCAGAUUUGUAGGCUAAUUGACUUGGUAGAAAUGUACAAUUGUCCCUAGUGUGUGAAGGGUGGUGUUCAUGUGCGGCUAACACUGAUUGGCAUGGACUUGAUGGGUUAAUGGGGAAGUUUCUGCUCUGUAUUUCUAAACUAAACUAAACUAAAGGUCAGAAUAUACAAAUGAAAGAAAAUAAAAAAGGGGGAGAAGAAAAACAAGCACAAAUGGCAUGCCCCGAUACAUUAGAAAAAAAAUGCUCUUUCUCUGAAAAUUGGGAAUUAAUAGUGACUCCUGCAGGUUGCAAAGUGCCUAAAAAAACAAAAUAGGUCUUGUUCUUUGAGCUUAUUUUGGGUCUUGUUAUAUUUAUGCAGGCGGCCACAGACAGAAGUCAGAGUGGGAUGGUGAAUUAAAGUGGCAGGCAACCGGAAACUCAGACUGACUGCAGGGAGCAACCACUGACCUGUUGAAUGUAGAACUUGAUGAAAGAAAGACGGAGUAAUAGGAGGGACAAUUCUACAGUAAACCAUACUCAAGGUGCACUUGUAUCUAAUUAUCAAAUAAUUAAAGACAACAAAUAUUAAAACUGCA